CCUGCAAACAGUUUCAGCCAACAGGAGGCACCCGUAUUAGAGCGGUGCGGCGCACGAGAAAGGGGGCGCUUGAGGGGGUACAAGAAGGCGGAGGGUCACGCGCAUUGGCAGUCGCCACCCCAUCGCGCCCCCACUCCUCGCCGCCAGCCAUCCACCGCACACACACACGCACACACACGCACACACACACACGCACACACACGCACACACACACGCACUUAGACUUUGCUCUACACGCACGCGUACAUGCGCACAUUGAGCUGACAGCAUCGCUGUCGAAUCUUGCAUGCUAUCACGGAGUUCGGCCGAUAGAUUUCUUCCUCCCCUCCUCGCACACACACGCACAGGUGUGUCUAUCUUGCUAGCGACACCGCGCUCCUUCAUCGCAUCCACUUUUGCGUGAGGUGCUCUCCUUCCGUUUCGCAUUCGCCUUCAUCGACACCGCUCGAUCCGCUGCUCGCCUAUCCCGUCUUGGACCUGUUUGACGCCAGUACUGUGUUUGUUUGCCGGCGUGCUCGAGAGGAGGGGACCGAGCUCCUGCGGCCCCAAAAUGAGUAGUGCAUCGUGCAGUUCACAUGGCAGCAGCAGCAGCACACGCCACCACAGUCGGCUUGAGGAUGCCCGGUCGCCAUCGCCGGAAGGCCCACGUGUGACGAUUGCAGCAACGGUGAGUCACGCCAGCGCCAGCGCACCGGAUCGCGCCGCGUGCUACGGCGACAUCUUCGUGGUGGAUGUGGCGAGUGGCGACCACUUUCACAUCACGGUUGCCUUAAAAGGUCCCUUCCAUCCCUUGACGUCCCUGACGCACCGUGCACUGCAGCGCACCGUGCGCAACCUGCUCCUGGCCUCACCCAACACCCACACGGGGGACUCGACAGCACAGCCGCCCCCGCUUCUGCUGCUCCUGCUUGAUGGCGUGCCACUCGAUGACAGCGAUGCCGUGACGCUGCCAAAUGGCGCGGUCGUGGAGGUGCACCACGGCUCUGCCGACUCGCUGCCUCGACCCGUGGCGCUGCCACCAGAGCAGGGGAUGCCCCUGCAGCCAACCUCAGCGGUUAGCGCCACGAGCGCACGCCUGUCUGCGCUGGAGGCAGUGAAUAGCAGCCCUGCCGAAGAAGAAAAGCUCCGGAGAACGCAAUCCACCGCGCCGGCGACAGCAGUGCCGUCUCCGUCGAGGCGCCUGCCUCCGCGCGGCGCGGGAGGUGCAUCUUCCAACAUCGGUUUACUGAGCGACGGCGACAACGUCGCUGGCACCCGUGACAGCACCUCGCCGUACGCGUUCACGCGCACCAGUGGAACGGCAACGUCCAGCAAGUCGAGGCCGCGGGGUGCGGUCACGCUGUUGUCCGCGUUUCACGCGAGCGCGCAUGAGGACUACGCCGUGUCGAGGCAGCUGAUACUAUCGUCGUCGCUGCCGAGCAGGCAUGACGGCGCCUCUGCGUCUACACGGUCAUCAGAAGAGGAGACCACGUCGGCCAGCAGGCAGGUGCCGAGCCUGCACACUGUCAACGCCACACAGCCGCCUCUGCACCAGAGGACCAGCACAUACAGCUCCAUCAGCGGACGUCCACGGGCACAUCAGAGCGACGCAGAUGUGAGAGGAGAGACUGCGUCUGCUGCUGGUGCACACACGCCGUCCUCUGCAUCAUCAACGUUGACGCCGCGACCCUCCACUGCCUUUACGUCGCCUGCCUUUAGUCAAGACUCAUCAGCAGUCACCGAGGAGUCCCUUACACACAGGCGGCACGCGCUGCCCAGCUCGUCCCGCGCCUCCGCCGCCGCCGACAGGCCCUCGUCUACCCCACUAUGUCCAAGUUGUGCAGCACCCUCGGCUGAACCGUCACUGACGUCUUCCGCGUCGGCUUCGGUGCCAGUCGCAUUGCAGAAUGCCGCCGCGUCUCAUCGAGGCUUAGAGGCUGUGCCGAGGUCGGCCCUGUCCGCGCCACCCACCGAGCACUCGCAACUGCAGACGUCAGCGCCGCUCCCAUCAUUACCCCCGCUGCAGCUGACCGCGCAGGAAAUCUACGACACUCAGCGGAGCUCCAUCGCCGCCGCGGCUGCCGCCGAGCAGCGGCGCCUCCUCACACGUAUGCAGCAGCGCUGUCAGGUGCUCGAGGAGGAGAAGGCGCUGCUGACGGCGCGCCUUCGUGCGCUGAGGGCGCAGGAGUCCGCAGGCCGUCUGCGUGCGCUGCGAGAGGCCCAGGAAGAGGCCGCCGCGGUGGAGGUGGAUGCCGUGCGUGCUCGCCUCGGCCAGCAUCGUGAAGACUUGCUUAGCCACUGGCUGCGCGUGCUGCAGUUCCACAAGGACACGCAGUACGCCAUGCCGAGCGCGCUGUUGCGUGAGCUGGAGGCUGAGGGCGAGGCGCUCACCCUUCAUUGCCUAUCCUCCAUCGCCGGCUAUCACACCCAGAAGGCCCGCCUGCAGGCGCUGCAGCGGCAACGCGUGUUGAAGGAGGCGGAGGUGGCUCGGCUGCGGUGGGAGGCCCAAGUGCGCCAGUGCACGGCGGAGGAGCAGCGCGGCUGUCUGCGGGUGGUGGCGCGGCUGAGGCCACCAAGCGAGCGCUCCUGGCUUCCCGCGUCGGUGCUCGCGUCCGCUGAGGUGGGGGAGCUCGACGGCGGCUACGCCGUCCGCGUGUUGGAGGGCUCGCCGGAUGCUGCCCGCGGCCCCCAACAAAUCGUCGAGCCUGUCCCGUGUGUGGUGGAGGUGACCGACCCGCCGCGUGAUCUGCGUCGCCGUUACGCGCUCUGGGCGGCCUACAACGCCGCCAACGCAGGGUCGCAGCAGCGCCUCUUCGAGGACCAGCUGCAGCCGCUGCUGGAGCACAUGUGCUGCACCGGGCAGAACGUCGCCGUCUUGGCCUUCGGCGCGGUCGGCAGCGGCAAGACGUCUGCGCUGUUCGGCUCCCGCGCCGCACAGUUGCCACGGCAGCCCGUGAAGACAGCGCACAAGGGUGUGCUGCCGCCGCAACCCCACCGAGUCGGCGGUGAGCCCGCCAGCCCUGAGGUGUUCAGCGACUUUGACUUCAGCAGCAGCAGCAGCGGCCGAAGCCACAGCGAGGGCGACGACGUCGGCCGCAUGCCGAACGGCGUCACUACCGUGGGGGCGCCGGGGCGCCGAGGCAUUACCCGCUGCCUUGACCCCGCCGACGCGGCGAGGGAGGCUCAGGUGCUCGAGUCCUUGGCCGAGACCGAGGCUGCGAAGCGGCGGCAGCGCAGUGCGGAGCGGCACGCACGGCAAGAACGCGGCUGGCGUGAGCGGGCCGGGAUCGAAGAGGGGGAUGGGCUACUGCCGCGCGCGGUGGCGUGGCUGACAGCGCACCUGCGCAGCGACUCGCCGCACGGCAAGGCCAGUGGGCCAGUGGUAGAGUCCAUCGUCUUCUCCAUGUACGAGGUGUACAAUGAUCACGUGUACGACUUGCUGCCAACCCCUCCUCCGAGUGCUGCAGGCACCACUGAACUGGGCAGCAAGGCCUCGUGGGCGGCGUGGCCUCGAUGGAACGCCGGGUGGCUGCCCGCCCCGCACAUCAAGAACAGCAACCCGGAGAAUCUGACGGAGCUGCAGCUGGAGUUGCUGCCGCCCUCCACAGACGGGCGCGGCGCUGUCAGAGACGCGCCAGCCACCGUCUCGCACUUGCCGCCGCCGCAGCCAGCGCAGCCCCAGUGGCGCGUCAAGGCGAGCGAGAUGGAGGUGCGCUCAGCAACGGAGGCGCUGCAGGCGAUCCACCUCGGUCUCCACCGCCGCCGCUCCGCCGCCACGCUUCGGGGAUCGCAGUCGAGCCGCAGCCAUCUCUUCCUGCGCUUCCGAGUCAAGGUGCAGCGGCCCGUCAUGCCGGCGAAGUCGUCGAGCGUUGCGAUGCAGUGGGCAUCAGCCACUUCAGCAGCAUCCGCGCUGGAGGUGGCGGGCAUCGGCGCUCUGAUCGGCAACGCCGCAGCGUCUGCGGACGCCACGGGCGCUGCAGGCAAGCCAAAGGGCUACGACUUCUUGCGCGCCGCACUCGCGACACCUUCUGAAGGAGCAAUCAGCGUCAAGCCGGCAGCGCCAGCGUCAUCGCUGACCAGUGUCGCGGAGCUGCUCUUCACCGACUUUGCCGGCAGCGAGCGCAUCGAGCUCAGCGGUGUCACAGGCGACGCGCUGAAGGAGGCGCAGUACAUCCACUCGAGCCUGAGCGCCGUGUCAGAGGUGCUGACGGCGUUGGCGCGGGCCCAUCCCCGUCGUGAUCACCAGGGCGAGGCAGAAGCGGCGGCGAGGCGGCCGGGGAAGCAGCGCGGCGGUAACGGGACGCCAUCACUAGCGGCUGCCGCGCUGGUGCAGCGCUGGGGAGCGAUGGUGAACUGUCCAGGCGUCACGCUGUCGCGCAGCCCGCCGGUCUUCCUCCAGCCGCGCUUCACGAAACUCGGCGGCGGCCGCGACACCCGGCAGCGCGGCGGGCACGAGGGCGGCCUUGCACUGCGCAGGCGCGUGCUGGCGCUCAUGGACAAGCACGUAGCUGAGGAGGAAGGUGCGCAGUGGUGGCGGCGUUGGCGUGCUGUGCCGCCGCACGUGCCGUUCCGCACGUGCAAGACGACGCAGCUGCUGCAGUCGGCGCUGGGCGCGCCGUGCAAGUCGUUGGUGCUGGCGUGCGUGCAGCCGUGCAGCGUGUCGGAGGUGGUGCUGCCUGCGAGCCUGGGCGACCGCAAAGGCCCGCGCACGCGUGCGGCGGCGCAGUCGGUGUUCGCUCACCAGGCGCCGGUGAUGCUCUCCGAGGUGCACGCCACGCUAGCCUUUGCUGAACGCAUCCACGAAGCAUCGCAGGACGGCGGCAAGACCAAGCGAGCGUAGUGGCGCACAAGGGGGGAUGGCGUGUGUGGGUAAGGAUGCUGUGCAUCGAACUUCA
This 4874-nucleotide unclassified non-coding RNA is filed under the name Leishmania donovani. RNAcentral describes it as "gene:LdHU3.13.0780(CDS-product:kinesin_putative)". Lineage: Eukaryota; Euglenozoa; Kinetoplastea; Trypanosomatida; Trypanosomatidae. The record is from RNAcentral.